Molecule: long non-coding RNA, 1668 nt
Organism: Amphiprion ocellaris (clown anemonefish)
Lineage: Eukaryota; Metazoa; Chordata; Actinopteri; Pomacentridae
Source: Ensembl
GAUGUCCGAGCCUCGGCGUGGCCCUUGAAUGCGCCACAGUGCAGAUGUUCAGAGGGUGUGGUGAGUUUAAACUCCUGGGUAUGUUUGACACUGAAGGACAAUAUUCUCCAUGAAUUAGAUGCGAAGCGUCUCUCAAGUGUCUCCAAAACUCCGGCAGGAUGGAGGCGUGUGUGGUAAAGCCAGAAGUCAAGAAGAAACCAAACCCGCCCAAGGCUCCUCCGAAGCCUGCAGAGGUCAAAAGAAAUGAAGCAGAGAGACCAGGUCCUGUGGUUCCUCCACGACCAAGAGAUGAUGAACUGAGUCAAACACAAUAUAGACUACAGAGCUCAGCAGUGGAAAACAAACAGACUGAUGGAAACGCGAAGCAACGAGAGACAAAAGAGAAACUGCCUGAAACUCCCGUCAUUCCACCCAGACCUACAGAAAAGGAACUGAACAAUGCAACCAGAUGCAGUCAGCGCAGGAGGGUCCAGGCUGAGGACAUGGAGAGCUUCAGAGAAACUGUCCAACCAGAAACUGAAGAAGUUCCCAGAGAUGAAGCCGACUUCAAACAGAGCAAUGAGUCAGUCUUGACCGGGAUGUUUCGACAGAGCCAUAAAGAGAAAACGCCGACGUUCACUAGUUACAUGAUCCACACCUUUGACGAAGAGGAGAAAACCGACGAGGCCCCAGUCAAACAGGCUCCUGGCAGCAAACCGGGUGUUCUGAAGGGAGUAAUGAAAGGGUUGCAGAUCAAGUCGUCACCAAAGGCCAGCAGAGACCCGAGUCCAGAUUCGAAGGCAGAGGAAGGAGGCUCAGAAAAGGAACAAUCUGCAGAAAAAAACAAGCCAGAGAAAAAUGCAGAACCCAAACAGGACAAAGGAGGUCUGCUCGCUGGAAUGUUCCGAAAAACACCCAAAGAGAAAUUAUCUUCUCCAGCAGUGAUGGUCAGUAAAGCAAACAGUGAUACCGAGCAUGCAGAAGAAGAAGGGAAAACAUCAGAACAGUCCAACGAAAAGGGAGGCUUCUUCUCUGGCAUCCUUAAAAAAUCCAACAAACCAGCAGAUGAGAUGUCUGCACAGGAGACUCUGAGUGCUCAUAGUGAUCUAUCUGCCAGCAGCGACAGUCUGUCUGAAAACAGGGAAAAAGGAAAAAUUUUUGGCGGGAUUUUCAAGAAGUCGCGGAAACCAGCAGAAGCCGCUCAAACCGAUGAGGACCAAGAGUCACUGCAUGGAGAUCUGUCCAGCAGCACUGUUAAUCUGAAUGAAGCUCCAUCGAAGGAGAAAGGUUUUUUCAGCGGCAUCCUGCGCAAAUCUCCUAAGAUUCCUGGAGAGGGGACACCUGGGCAGGAUAAAGAGUUGCAGUGGACUGACCUGUCAGCCAGCAGUGAGAGUCUGUCAGAGAACACCAAAAUAAGGGAGAAGGGGAAUGUUUUCAGUGCGAUGUUUAAGAAAUCUCCAAAACUGUCUGAAGGCUCCCGACUGGAAGAGGUAACAUAUCUACAUACUUACUCUACAGGCCAAAAGUUUGGAAGCUGUUUCAAGUUUCUAUUCACAAAGUCUUUCUUAAAAAGGUCAAAACAAUAAAAAACAGUAUGAAUUCUAUGGAUUUUGAGAUGCAUUUACUGCAAGAUCAGACUUUUGUUUCAUUGAUUUGCGCCAGUUUCCUCAGUUUAUCUUUAGGUAUACA